UAACGCGUGAGGAACCUGCCUCAAAGAGGGGGACAACAGUUGGAAACGACUGCUAAUACCGCAUAAGCCCACGACCCGGCAUCGGGUAGAGGGAAAAGGAGCAAUCCGCUUUGAGAUGGCCUCGCGUCCGAUUAGCUAGUUGGUGAGGUAACGGCCCACCAAGGCGACGAUCGGUAGCCGGACUGAGAGGUUGAACGGCCACAUUGGGACUGAGACACGGCCCAGACUCCUACGGGAGGCAGCAGUGGGGAAUAUUGCACAAUGGGGGAAACCCUGAUGCAGCGACGCCGCGUGGAGGAAGAAGGUCUUCGGAUUGUAAACUCCUGUUGUUGAGGAAGAUAAUGACGGUACUCAACAAGGAAGUGACGGCUAACUACGUGCCAGCAGCCGCGGUAAAACGUAGGUCGCAAGCGUUGUCCGGAAUUACUGGGUGUAAAGGGAGCGCAGGCGGGAAGACAAGUUGGAAGUGAAAUCCAUGGGCUCAACCCAUGAACUGCUUUCAAAACUGUUUUUCUUGAGUAGUGCAGAGGUAGGCGGAAUUCCCGGUGUAGCGGUGGAAUGCGUAGAUAUCGGGAGGAACACCAGUGGCGAAGGCGGCCUACUGGGCACCAACUGACGCUGAGGCUCGAAAGUGUGGGUAGCAAACAGGAUUAGAUACCCUGGUAGUCCACACUGUAAACGAUGAUUACUAGGUGU
Molecule: ribosomal RNA, 696 nt
Filed under: uncultured bacterium
Lineage: Bacteria
Description: bacterial SSU rRNA
Rfam family: Bacterial small subunit ribosomal RNA
Source: RNAcentral